Molecule: ribosomal RNA, 391 nt
Filed under: uncultured bacterium
Lineage: Bacteria
Description: bacterial SSU rRNA
Rfam family: Bacterial small subunit ribosomal RNA
Source: RNAcentral
CACGCCGUAAACGAAUGAAGUGGCUAAGUGUUAGAAGGGUUUCCGCCCUUUAGUGCUGCAGCUAACGCAUUAAGCACUCCGCCUGGGGAGUACGGCCGCAAGGCUGAAACUCAAAGGAAUUGACGGGGGCCCGCACAAGCGGUGGAGCAUGUGGUUUAAUUCGAAGCAACGCGAAGAACCUUACCAGGUCUUGACAUCCUCUGACACUCCUAGAGAUAGGAAUUUCCCCUUCGGGGGACAGAGUGACAGGUGGUGCAUGGUUGUCGUCAGCUCGUGUCGUGAGAUGUUGGGUUAAGUCCCGCAACGAGCGCAACCCUUGAUCUUAGUUGCCAGCAUUCAGUUGGGCACUCUAAGGUGACUGCCGGUGACAAACCGGAGGAAGGUGGGGAUG